RNAcentral lists this transfer RNA (71 nucleotides) under Marmota monax (woodchuck). RNAcentral describes it as "tRNA.Ala". Lineage: Eukaryota; Metazoa; Chordata; Mammalia; Rodentia; Sciuridae. The record is from RNAcentral.
GGUUGGGGCUCAGUGGUAGAGCACUUGCCUAGCAUGUGUGAAGCCCUGGGUACGAGUCUCAGCACCAAGUA